RNAcentral lists this ribosomal RNA (578 nucleotides) under uncultured bacterium. RNAcentral's name for it is "bacterial SSU rRNA". It matches the Rfam family "Bacterial small subunit ribosomal RNA", at positions 338 to 916 of the family's 1533-position model. The record is from RNAcentral.
CCUACGGGAGGCAGCAGUGAGGAAUAUUGGUCAAUGGGCGAGAGCCUGAACCAGCCAUCCCGCGUGCAGGAAGAAUGCCCUAUGGGUUGUAAACUGCUUUUUCGCAUGAAUAACAUUUCGGACGUGUCCGAAACUGAAGGUAAUGCGUGAAUAAGCACCGGCUAACUCCGUGCCAGCAGCCGCGGUAAUACGGAGGGUGCAAGCGUUAUCCGGAUUUAUUGGGUUUAAAGGGUGCGUAGGCGGCUAUUUAAGUCAGUGGUGAAAUCCUGCAGCUCAACUGUAGAACAGCCAUUGAAACUGAAGUGCUUGAGUAAUCUUGAGGUAGGCGGAAUGUGUAGUGUAGCGGUGAAAUGCUUAGAUAUUACACAGAACACCGAUUGCGAAGGCAGCUUACUAAGGAUUCACUGACGCUGAUGCACGAAAGCGUGGGGAUCAAACAGGAUUAGAUACCCUGGUAGUCCACGCCGUAAACGAUGAUAACUCGCUGUUGGCGAUACACAGUCAGCGGCUUAGCGAAAGCGUUAGGUUAUCCACCUGGGGAGUACGCUCGCAAGAUUGAAACUCAAAGGAAUUGACGG